Molecule: long non-coding RNA, 365 nt
Filed under: Sorghum bicolor (sorghum)
Lineage: Eukaryota; Viridiplantae; Streptophyta; Magnoliopsida; Poales; Poaceae
Description: long non-coding RNA (SBIC_LNC002137)
Source: RNAcentral
GGAGUCUUAUUUUUUCUACCUCUUUCUUCAAUAAAUAUGCUGCCACAUCAGCAAAAUAUCAUAAAUAAUAUAGAAUUAAGUGUCUUGAACUCUGUGAUAGAGUCUUGCGUUGUGAGUGCCCUAACUGGUCUAUGUACUCUUAUGCAAUGUGUAGUGAGAGGUCACAGGGAUCCUCAAACUAGACACACCAGUAGUGCUUGGUCUAGACGGUUAAGCCAAUUAAAUCCAAACAUAAGCUCCGCACAUGCUCAACAGUCAUGAUACUGCACGUCCAUAUGCCAUAUAAAUUGAGCACACUACUGCCACCUGUGGUUGAUAUGAAUGUAGUAGGUAGCUCCAUAACAUAAAUAUGAUCCCUAACUUUG